GCUCCCAUGGUGUAGUCCGGCCAAUCAUUCGAGCUUUUCGAGCUCGGGACACGGGUUCAAAUCCCGUUGGGAGCG
RNAcentral lists this transfer RNA (75 nucleotides) under Candidatus Woesearchaeota archaeon. RNAcentral's name for it is "tRNA-Glu". It matches the Rfam family "tRNA". From Rfam's summary of the family: Transfer RNA (tRNA) molecules are approximately 80 nucleotides in length. Their secondary structure includes four short double-helical elements and three loops (D, anti-codon, and T loops). Further hydrogen bonds mediate the characteristic L-shaped molecular structure. tRNAs have two regions of fundamental functional importance: the anti-codon, which is responsible for specific mRNA codon recognition, and the 3' end, to which the tRNAs corresponding amino acid is attached (by aminoacyl-tRNA synthetases). tRNAs cope with the degeneracy of the genetic code in two manners: having more than one tRNA (with a specific anti-codon) for a particular amino acid; and 'wobble' base-pairing, i.e. permitting non-standard base-pairing at the 3rd anti-codon position. The record is from RNAcentral. Lineage: Archaea; Nanobdellati; Candidatus Woesearchaeota.